GACAGAGGUGCCGAGCGUUAGGCGGAAUCACUGGGCUUAAAGCGUGUGUAGGCGGAUCGUUAAGUGCCUUGUGAAAUCCCACGGCUCAACCGUGGAACUGCUUGGCAUACUGGCGGUCUUGAGCCACUUAGGGGCUACCGGAACAAAUGGUGGAGCGGUGAAAUGCGUAGAUAUCAUUUGGAACGCCAAUGGUGAAAACAGGUAGCUGGGAGUGUGCUGACGCUGAGACACGAAAGCCAGGGGAGCGAACGGG
RNAcentral lists this ribosomal RNA (253 nucleotides) under uncultured bacterium. RNAcentral's name for it is "partial 16S ribosomal RNA". It matches the Rfam family "Bacterial small subunit ribosomal RNA", at positions 524 to 776 of the family's 1533-position model. The record is from RNAcentral.